RNAcentral lists this ribosomal RNA (440 nucleotides) under uncultured bacterium. RNAcentral describes it as "bacterial SSU rRNA". It matches the Rfam family "Bacterial small subunit ribosomal RNA", at positions 957 to 1391 of the family's 1533-position model. The record is from RNAcentral.
GAACGCGAAGAACCUUACCAAGUCUUGACAUACUGUGAGGACACAAGAGAUUGUGUUGUUCUGACCUUUGGUUAGACACAGAUACAGGUGGUGCAUGGUUGUCGUCAGCUCGUGUCGUGAGAUGUUGGGUUAAGUCCCGCAACGAGCGCAACCCUUAUAUCUAGUUGCCAGCAGUAAGAUGGGGACUCUAGAUAGACUGCCAGUGAUAAACUGGAGGAAGGUGGGGAUGACGUCAAAUCAUCAUGCCCCUUAUGACUUGGGCUACACACGUGCUACAAUGGAUAGGAACAAAGAGAAGCGAGCUCGCGAGAGUAAGCAAACCUCACAAAACUAUUCUCAGUUCGGAUUGUAGUCUGCAACUCGACUACAUGAAGCUGGAAUCGCUAGUAAUCGCGAAUCAGAAUGUCGCGGUGAAUACGUUCCCGGGUCUUGUACACACC